RNAcentral lists this unclassified non-coding RNA (29 nucleotides) under Mus musculus (house mouse). RNAcentral describes it as "oocyte_clustered_small_RNA7556". Lineage: Eukaryota; Metazoa; Chordata; Mammalia; Rodentia; Muridae. The record is from RNAcentral.
UUGAUCACUAUUUGAGAAAAUACCCCACA